UCUCCGUAGGUGAACCUGCGGAGGGAUCAUUACUGAGUGAGGGCUCCGGCCCGACCUCCAACCCCAUGUGAACCGAAACCUGUUGCUUCGGGGGCGACCCUGCCGUUCGGCGCGGCGCCCCCGGAGACAUUCUAAACUCUGCAUCUUUGCGUCUGAGUCUUAAUCAAAUUAAACAAAACUUUCAACAACGGAUCUCUUGGUUCUGGCAUCGAUGAAGAACGCAGC
This 225-nucleotide unclassified non-coding RNA is filed under the name uncultured fungus. RNAcentral's name for it is "sequence contains ITS1, 5.8S rRNA gene". The stretch from base 177 to 225 matches the Rfam family "5.8S ribosomal RNA", at positions 1 to 49 of the family's 154-position model. The record is from RNAcentral. Lineage: Eukaryota; Fungi.